AACGAACGCUGGCGGCAUGCCUAACACAUGCAAGUCGAACGAGACCUUCGGGUCUAGUGGCGCACGGGUGCGUAACGCGUGGGAACCUGCCCUUAGGUUCGGAAUAACUCCCCGAAAGGGGUGCUAAUACCGGAUAAUGUCUGCGGACCAAAGAUUUAUCGCCUUUGGAUGGGCCCGCGUUGGAUUAGCUAGUUGGUAGGGUAAAAGCCUACCAAGGCGACGAUCCAUAGCUGGUCUGAGAGGAUGAUCAGCCACACUGGGACUGAGACACGGCCCAGACUCCUACAGGAGGCAGCAGUGGGGAAUAUUGGACAAUGGGCGAAAGCCUGAUCCAGCAAUGCCGCGUGAGUGAUGAAGGCCUUAGGGUUGUAAAGCUCUUUUACCCGGGAUGAUAAUGACAGUACCGGGAGAAUAAGCUCCGGCUAACUCCGUG
This 433-nucleotide ribosomal RNA is filed under the name uncultured bacterium. Its description in RNAcentral is "partial 16S ribosomal RNA". It matches the Rfam family "Bacterial small subunit ribosomal RNA", at positions 29 to 507 of the family's 1533-position model. The record is from RNAcentral.